UCGCCGGUAGCUCAGAUGGUAAAGUGUCUGCCUGUGAUGCGGCAGACCUAGGUUCGAUCCCUGGGUGGGGAA
Molecule: transfer RNA, 72 nt
Filed under: Bos taurus (domestic cattle)
Lineage: Eukaryota; Metazoa; Chordata; Mammalia; Artiodactyla; Bovidae
Also listed under: 2 other names
Rfam family: tRNA
About the family: Transfer RNA (tRNA) molecules are approximately 80 nucleotides in length. Their secondary structure includes four short double-helical elements and three loops (D, anti-codon, and T loops). Further hydrogen bonds mediate the characteristic L-shaped molecular structure. tRNAs have two regions of fundamental functional importance: the anti-codon, which is responsible for specific mRNA codon recognition, and the 3' end, to which the tRNAs corresponding amino acid is attached (by aminoacyl-tRNA synthetases). tRNAs cope with the degeneracy of the genetic code in two manners: having more than one tRNA (with a specific anti-codon) for a particular amino acid; and 'wobble' base-pairing, i.e. permitting non-standard base-pairing at the 3rd anti-codon position.
Source: Rfam by way of RNAcentral